GAUGAACGCUGGCGGCGUGCCUAAUACAUGCAAGUCGAGCGAACAGAUGAGGAGCUUGCUCCUCUGACGUUAGCGGCGGACGGGUGAGUAACACGUGGAUAACCUACCUAUAAGACUGGGAUAACUUCGGGAAACCGGAGCUAAUACCGGAUAAUAUAUUGAACCGCAUGGUUCAAUAGUGAAAGACGGUUUUGCUGUCACUUAUAGAUGGAUCCGCGCCGCAUUAGCUAGUUGGUAAGGUAACGGCUUACCAAGGCAACGAUGCGUAGCCGACCUGAGAGGGUGAUCGGCCACACUGGAACGGAGACACGGUCCAGACUCCUACGGGAGGCAGCAGUAGGGAAUCUUCCGCAAUGGGCGAAAGCCUGACGGAGCAACGCCGCGUGAGUGAUGAAGGUCUUCGGAUCGUAAAACUCUGUUAUUAGGGAAGAACAAAUGUGUAAGUAAAUAUGCACGUCUUGACGGUACCUAAUCAGAAAGCCACGGCUAACUACGUG
Molecule: ribosomal RNA, 497 nt
Filed under: uncultured bacterium
Lineage: Bacteria
Description: partial 16S ribosomal RNA
Rfam family: Bacterial small subunit ribosomal RNA
Source: RNAcentral